Molecule: ribosomal RNA, 215 nt
Filed under: Campeiostachys nutans
Lineage: Eukaryota; Viridiplantae; Streptophyta; Magnoliopsida; Poales; Poaceae
Description: Elymus nutans partial small subunit ribosomal RNA
Rfam family: Eukaryotic small subunit ribosomal RNA (bases 42-215)
Source: RNAcentral
GGAUCAGUUGGUCGGUCGUGCCUCGGUACGUACUGGUCAAAUUGAUUCCUACCUUCUGACGAACCACGAUGUCAUUAAUUUGGUGUCGCGGGAAAUCAGGACUGUUACUUUGAAAAAAUUAGAGUGUUCAAAGCAGGCCUUUGCUCGAAUACAUUAGCAUGGAAUAAUGAAAUAGGACGUUCGAUCCUAUUUUGUUGGUUUCUAGGAUUGACGUA